Molecule: ribosomal RNA, 472 nt
Filed under: uncultured bacterium
Lineage: Bacteria
Description: SSU rRNA
Rfam family: Bacterial small subunit ribosomal RNA
Source: RNAcentral
AGGACGAACGCUGGCGGCGUGCUUAACACAUGCAAGUCGAGCGGAAAGGCCCUUCGGGGUACUCGAGCGGCGAACGGGUGAGUAACACGUGAGUAAUCUGCCCCUAGCUCUGGGAUAGCUCCGGGAAACCGGGAUUAAUACCGGAUACGACCACGGCCGACAUCUGCUGUGGUGGAAAGGAUUCCGGCUAAGGAUGGGCUCGCGGCCUAUCAGCUAGUUGGUGGGGUAAUGGCCCACCAAGGCGACGACGGGUAGCCGGCCUGAGAGGGCGACCGGCCACACUGGGACUGAGACACGGCCCAGACUCCUACGGGAGGCAGCAGUGGGGAAUAUUGCGCAAUGGGCGAAAGCCUGACGCAGCGACGCCGCGUGGGGGAUGAAGGCCUUCGGGUUGUAAACCCUUUCAGCAGGACGAAGCGAAAGUGACGGUACCUGCAGAAGAAGCGCCGGCUAACUACGUGCCAGCAGCCGC